Myotis lucifugus (little brown bat) is the source of this 62-nucleotide microRNA precursor. NCBI's taxonomy places the organism in Eukaryota, Metazoa, Chordata, Mammalia, Chiroptera, Vespertilionidae. The record is from Ensembl.
GACCAACCUCGCUGGUUGGCCUGGGACUGAGUGGGUUGCUGGGAAACGGGACUUUCAGUGCU